GCAAGUCGAACGCGAAAGUCACUUCGGUGGCGAGUAGAGUGGCGGACGGGUGAGUAACGCGUAGGAAUCUGCCUAGUAGUGGGGGACAACUCGGGGAAACUCGAGCUAAUACCGCAUACGCCCUACGGGGGAAAGUGGGGGAUCUUCGGACCUCACGCUAUUGGAUGAGCCUGCGUCGGAUUAGCUAGUUGGUGAGGUAAUGGCUCACCAAGGCGACGAUCCCUAGCUGGUCUGAGAGGAUGAUC
This 245-nucleotide ribosomal RNA is filed under the name uncultured bacterium. RNAcentral's name for it is "partial 16S ribosomal RNA". It matches the Rfam family "Bacterial small subunit ribosomal RNA", at positions 57 to 305 of the family's 1533-position model. The record is from RNAcentral.